This 492-nucleotide ribosomal RNA is filed under the name uncultured bacterium. RNAcentral describes it as "partial 16S ribosomal RNA". It matches the Rfam family "Bacterial small subunit ribosomal RNA", at positions 29 to 507 of the family's 1533-position model. The record is from RNAcentral.
AGUGAACGCUGGCGGUAGGCCUAACACAUGCAAGUCGAACGGCAGCACAGUAAGAGCUUGCUCUUACGGGUGGCGAGUGGCGGACGGGAGAGGAAUACAUCGGAAUCUACUUUUUCGUGGGGGAUAACGUAGGGAAACUUACGCUAAUACCGCAUACGACCUACGGGUGAAAGCAGGGGAACUUCGCACCUUGCGCGAUUGAAUGAGCCGAUGUCGGAUUAGCUAGUUGGCGGGGUAAAGGCCCACCAAGGCGACGAUCCGUAGCUGGUCUGAGAGGAUGAUCAGCCACACUGGAACUGGGACACGGUCCAGACUCCUACGGGAGGCAGCAGUGGGGAAUAUUGGACAAUGGGCGCAAGCCUGAUCCAGCCAUACCGCGUGUGUGAAGAAGGCCUUCGGGUUGUAAAGCCCUUUUGUUGGGAAAGAAAAGCAGCAGGUUAAUACCCCGCUGUUCUGACGGUACCCAAAGAAUAAGCACCGGCUAACUUCGUG